RNAcentral lists this ribosomal RNA (243 nucleotides) under uncultured Lactobacillus sp. RNAcentral's name for it is "partial 16S ribosomal RNA". It matches the Rfam family "Bacterial small subunit ribosomal RNA", at positions 119 to 354 of the family's 1533-position model. Lineage: Bacteria; Bacillati; Bacillota; Bacilli; Lactobacillales; Lactobacillaceae. The record is from RNAcentral.
GGGUAACCUGCCCAAGAGAUCGGGAUAACACCUGGAAACAGAUGCUAAUACCGGAUAACAACAGAUGAUGCCUAUCAACUGUUUAAAAGAUGGUUCUGCUAUCACUCUUGGAUGGACCUGCGGUGCAUUAGCUAGUUGGUAGGGUAACGGCCUACCAAGGCGAUGAUGCAUAGCCGAGUUGAGAGACUGAUCGGCCACAUUGGGACUGAGACACGGCCCAAACUCCUACGGGAGGCAGCAGAG